UUUCCCUUCUCCAGAGGAUCUUCCCAACCCAGGAAUUGAACCCAGGUCUCCCACAUUGAAGGCAGAUUCUUUAACCAGCUGAGCCACAAGAGAAGCCCAGAUAUGUUCAAUUAGCUCCAGAUACAGCAUCCUCUGCCACAUUUUAUUCCUCAAAUAUUUAGUCCUUGUCUUCCCAGCUGAAGGAAUAGGAAUGUGGUUUCAGAAUCCUACGUGAUUAUAUUUAUUGCAGGCCGUUAUGGCAAAGGGGCUGCCUGCCAGCUGUGCCCUUUUUGAGCUUUGCCAAGUAUCUCCUGAGAGCCUCCCCAGGGCCUUAGACAGAGGCGGGAGCCGCUGCCACCACGAGGGUGGGCUAUCUGCCUACUUGGCUUCUCUCCUUUAUGAAUCUUCAUCCAUGGCUGCAGAGCUGCCUCACAGCAAGGCGGCGCCUCCUACACAGAGUUCCAGGUUCACCGGAAAAGGUCAAAGCGGUGGAGAAGCCAAAGGAGCGGAAUAUAAUUUGAGAAGAAGCAACACAUGUUAUUAUUCUACAUAGCAAUCAAAGAGCCAUUGUAUGAUAUGCCUACAAUAUGUAAGGUACAAUGUUAGAUUUUUUAAAAACAGCUUUGUUGAAAUA
Long non-coding RNA from Bubalus bubalis (water buffalo), 613 nucleotides. RefSeq lists it as uncharacterized. Lineage: Eukaryota; Metazoa; Chordata; Mammalia; Artiodactyla; Bovidae. The transcript is spliced from 2 exons. The record is from RefSeq and is a predicted model, not a curated record.